AGCCCGUGGAGAAAGAGCGGAGGCGCUGUGCGGUUUUCCGUGGGGGUGUCAGCUCCGGCCCGUGCCGGAAGAAGGAGCCAAGACCGGGAUCGCUUUUUUGCCCCUUCCUCACCCCACAUUCGGUCACGAAGAGGUGGAAACAAAAGGACACUUACAAUGUAGUCCAACCUCCUGAUUUUACAUAUGAGGGGAUUGUUCCACGGAAGUUAAACAAUUUGCCAGACGUCAUUAUGUAUCUACUGAGUGAGAGAAUCAUAAAUAUUGUUGAUAGUUAACGCCACUUUUGGUUAAUGUCCCUUUUCCUUAAAAGAGCCAGAUGAUUUUAAUCCAAACUUAAUUUCAGUAAAUUUUCUCUGAACUAUCUUUUUAUUUAUACUCUCCUGUUACAGCUCUAUUAAGAUUAAUAAAUUGGCAGGUCCUCCCUUUAAAAAACAAAAAUCAAUAAAGUCACAAGGCCUUCAAUGUGCCUGACUGGAAAGGUAAAACACCUGUCAGUUUUAGUUGAGUGCAAGGGCAUUCUUCUAGUUUUACGCAGUUUAUAAUUAUGGAAUAACUUUUUAAGCAAAAUAAAGGUAAAAAGAAGAAUUGCAUUCUGGGUUUCAACAACAAAAACAAAUUGUUCCCAAAAUAGUAGGUCUGCAUCUCAGUACGCAAUUCACAUAAAGCUCUUCUAUCCCACUGCAAUCUGCCACCGUAGGUUCAGUCGUGAGUGCAUUGAUCGUUGGUCAGACACUUUUUCCUCAUAUUCUGUGUGUGUAUCGCUAACUACUGCGGUAGCAAAAAUAUAGUCCCUGCCCUUGAAGAGCUCAUAUUUUAGUGAAGGAUGCGGAAGUGGAGUGUGAUGUAAAUAAAGUUUGUGUUGUAAGAAAAAGUGCUGUGGGAGCUCAGAACACAGCAGCUAAACGCUCAGGUGUUUAUUGUAGUCCAGAAUGCCCUAUCCUAAUUCCACCACUCCAAGAUCCUGGACAAGCGACGUGCCUUUCUGAGCCUUAAUUGCCCCAUCUAUGAAAUGAGGGGGAAGGAAUGAUACUGCCUACCUUGAAAGGAUUUUUUAAAAAAUGUUCUCAGAGUUUGUUUUAUGCCAGGCACACUGUAAAGCACUUCGGCUGUUGUGAUUUUCUUGAUCCUCACAGUUACCCUGAAGAGGCUGGUUCUGAAUCUGACCCGUUUUGGCAAUGAAAGAUUAUAUAAAUCAAACUUGUAGCAGCUGCAAGUGGUAGAGCCUAAAUUUAAACGGAGGUCUAUGUGAUUCCUUUAAGAUUUUUUUUAAUUAAAUACAACGCAUAUAAAAACACUAGUAUAUGUUGAGGCCCGAAAUAUUAGCUAUCAUCAUUAUUUUGCUUUAUACAUAUGUAUUAUUAUUAAACGUAUGUAGAAGCUGUUAUCAUUAAAACAAUUCUAAUAAAUUCAAAAGCGUGAAAUUAUAAUACGUACUAGUCAUUAUGUUUUCUGAAUUUAUGAAGCUCCAGAAUGUCAAUACUAUUGUUUAUUAGGAGGUAGGAGGAAUUUGAGAAAUAUUUACAUUGAAAUGUAGAAGCUGUUAUCAUUAAAACAAUUCUAAUAAAUUCAAAAGCAUGAAAUUA
This 1583-nucleotide long non-coding RNA is filed under the name Homo sapiens (human). RNAcentral's name for it is "non-protein coding lnc-FGL1-4:1". Lineage: Eukaryota; Metazoa; Chordata; Mammalia; Primates; Hominidae. The record is from RNAcentral.